CCUACGGGAGGCAGCAGUGGGGAAUAUUGCACAAUGGGGGGAACCCUGAUGCAGCAACGCCGCGUGAGUGAAGAAGUACCUCGGUAUGUAAAGCUCUAUCAGCAGGGAAGAAAAUGACGGUACCUGACCAAGAAGCACCGGCUAAAUACGUGCCAGCAGCCGCGGUAAUACGUAUGGUGCAAGCGUUAUCCGGAUUUACUGGGUGUAAAGGGAGCGCAGGCGGCGCGGCAAGUCAGAUGUGAAAGCCCGGGGCUCAACCCCGGGACUGCAUUUGAAACUGCCGGGCUAGAGUAUCGGAGAGGCAAGUGGAAUUCCUAGUGUAGCGGUGAAAUGCGUAGAUAUUAGGAGGAACACCAGUGGCGAAGGCGGCUUGCUGGACGAUCACUGACGCUGAGGCUCGAAAGCGUGGGGAGCAAACAGGAUUAGAUACCCUGGUAGUC
This 440-nucleotide ribosomal RNA is filed under the name uncultured bacterium. Its description in RNAcentral is "partial 16S ribosomal RNA". It matches the Rfam family "Bacterial small subunit ribosomal RNA", at positions 338 to 795 of the family's 1533-position model. The record is from RNAcentral.